Non-coding RNA from Coturnix japonica (Japanese quail), 665 nucleotides. The record is from RefSeq and is a predicted model, not a curated record. NCBI's taxonomy places the organism in Eukaryota, Metazoa, Chordata, Aves, Galliformes, Phasianidae.
UGUCCCAAGAAGCGUCCAGCAAACCACAGCGCCGUGUUUCUCUUUCACAAGGCAGGAUGACACAAGACCCGGAGCUGAAGGCCUUGGAGGAAAGUGAUUCCGUGUCAUCUCUGACAGGGGAAGAAACAGGAAAAGGUGCUUUGGGAACAAUUGGUGGUGUAAGGGAUACUGCCUGUGUGGCAGGAGAACUCCAGCUGGGAUCGAAGUGCUGCUGCCAGCAAGAAAGGAACCUGCUCUGCUUUUUCUUCUCCCCACAGCUGUGACCCUUUGGGCAUCUCCCAGCCAUGCAGAUCCUGCCUCUCCUCUUUGCUGUCCUCCUCCUGAUGCUCCAGGGAGAACCAGGGCUGUCCCUUGCUCGGGCAUCACCCCAGGACUGUGAGCGCCGUGGGGGCUUCUGCUCCCAUAGCUCAUGCCCUCCAGGGAUUGGUCGCAUUGGUCUCUGCUCCGAGCAAGUCUUCUGCUGUCGGAGCCGAUGGUAUUCCUGAUGGCCUCUGAUGUCCCCUCACGUUGAUCUCCGUGCAGAACACUGAAGCCACCAUGUACCUUUGUAGUGCACCAGAGGCAACAGUCAUCACUGGGAGCGGUGGUGACCCUGGAAAACAAGACCUCAGCCCUGUGAGAACCCCUCUUUGCACAAUACAAGGUGGCAGCUUGCAUUAACAUUA